CAGCAGCCGCGGUAAAACGGAGGGUGCAAGCGUUAAUCGGAAUUACUGGGCGUAAAGCGCACGCAGGCGGUCUGUCAAGUCAGAUGUGAAAUCCCCGGGCUUAACCUGGGAACUGCAUUUGAAACUGGCAGGCUAGAGUCUUGUAGAGGGGGGUAGAAUUCCAGGUGUAGCGGUGAAAUGCGUAGAGAUCUGGAGGAAUACCGGUGGCGAAGGCGGCCCCCUGGACAAAGACUGACGCUCAGGUGCGAAAGCGUGGGGAGCAAACAGGAUUAGAUACCCGUGUAGUCCCUGUCUCUUAUAC
RNAcentral lists this ribosomal RNA (301 nucleotides) under uncultured bacterium. RNAcentral describes it as "partial 16S ribosomal RNA". It matches the Rfam family "Bacterial small subunit ribosomal RNA", at positions 509 to 807 of the family's 1533-position model. The record is from RNAcentral.